CCUAGAUAGCUUGGGGAUGGAGACUGCUUUCUGAAAGAUCAAGGCACCCCCCCCGGGAAAUCAGCAAGCAGCGCACGUAGCUGAGAACAGCCGGGCAACCCCUCCCGACCCCAGAUUACUGCUAAUGACAAGAGCUGGCAGCCCGGCUCCCUGGACACCAGGGAGGAGCUCGACCCCCUGAGCUUUGUUGAGCUACGCUUGGUGUGUGACACCGUGUGACACUGUAUAAGUUUGCAGUAUGAUACAGCAUAGUGACUUGACACACACAAUGCAGAAGCAAAAUGAUUACCACGGAGGCCGAUGGGGGUGAUGUUACAUCUUUGUGUCUGUCUCCCCAUGUAACAUGUACCCUUUCAGUGGUCAGCCACAUCAUUUCCAGGGACAAGCACAAAACAGAAGUGUAGGGCUUCUUGUUCAAAAAAGAAGAAAGCUGCUUUUUCUUUCUC
Molecule: long non-coding RNA, 446 nt
Organism: Suricata suricatta (meerkat)
Lineage: Eukaryota; Metazoa; Chordata; Mammalia; Carnivora; Herpestidae
Exons: 4
Source: RefSeq, a predicted model, not a curated record